AUUGAACGCUGGCGGCAUGCCUUACACAUGCAAGUCGAACGGCAGCACGGGAGCAAUCCUGGUGGCGAGUGGCGAACGGGUGAGUAAUAUAUCGGAACGUGCCCAGUCGUGGGGAUAACGUAGCGAAAGCUACGCUAAUACCGCAUACGAUCUAUGGAUGAAAGCGGGGGAUCGCAAGACCUCGCGCGAUUGGAGCGGCCGAUAUCAGAUUAGGUAGUUGGUGAGGUAAAGGGCUCACCAAGCCGACGAUCUGUAGCUGGUCUGAGAGGACGACCAGCCACACUGGGACUGAGACACGGCCCAGACUCCUACGGGAGGCAGCAGUGGGGAAUUUUGGGACAAUGGGCGCAAGCCUGAUCCAGCAAUGCCGCGUGCAGGAUGAAGGCCU
Molecule: ribosomal RNA, 388 nt
Filed under: uncultured bacterium
Lineage: Bacteria
Description: bacterial SSU rRNA
Rfam family: Bacterial small subunit ribosomal RNA
Source: RNAcentral